This is a non-coding RNA of Pelobates cultripes (western spadefoot toad), 362 nucleotides long. The record is from the annotation of a GenBank genome assembly. Lineage: Eukaryota; Metazoa; Chordata; Amphibia; Anura; Pelobatidae.
GUGUAAGUACCCACGGCCACUACAGUGAAACUGCAAAUGGAUCAUUAAAUCAGUUAUGGUUCCUUUGAUCGCUCCAUCUGUUACUUGGAUAACUGUGGUAAUUCUAGAGCUAAUACAUGCCGACGAGCGCUGACCCCCAGGGAUGCAUGCAUUUAUCAGACCAAAACCCAUCUGGGUCAGGGCUAGGGGCUCGCCCCCCUUCCCUCCCGGCCGCAGGUUUUUUUCACGGGUCUCUCUGUUAUGGAGCACCUUAUCACUAUGCACGCACUUUUUUCACUUUAUUUAUUUUAAGAUUUUUUUUUUUUUUUUUUGUCUUUUAGUUCUUAGACAGCGAUUGAGAACAUGAGGGAAUUGCCCUAGAU